RNAcentral lists this ribosomal RNA (1716 nucleotides) under Lactiplantibacillus plantarum. RNAcentral describes it as "Lactobacillus plantarum partial 23S ribosomal RNA". It matches the Rfam family "Bacterial large subunit ribosomal RNA", at positions 1 to 1767 of the family's 2925-position model. Lineage: Bacteria; Bacillati; Bacillota; Bacilli; Lactobacillales; Lactobacillaceae. The record is from RNAcentral.
GAAUAAGCGCGUAUGGUGGAUGCCUUGGCAGUAAGAGGCGAUGAAGGAUGUAGUAGCCUGCAAUAAGCUUCGGGAAGCUGGCAAACAAGCAAUGAUCCGGAGAUUUCCGAAUGGGGAAACCCAACCUUUAAUUAAGGUUAUUGUGUGCUGAAUUCAUAGGCACAUAAGGCGAACCUGGGGAACUGAAACAUCUAAGUACCCAGAGGAAAAGAAAUCAACCGAGAUUCCGUCAGUAGUGGCGAGCGAAAGCGGAACAGCCCAGUUACUAAAUCAUUAUUGGCUUUAGCAGAAUGUUCUGGAAAGUUCAGCUAUAGUGGGUGAUAGCCCCGUAUGUAAAAGGGCUAAUAAUGUGUGUAACGAUGAGUAGGUCGGGACACGUGAAAUCUUGACUGAAUAUGGGGGGACCAUCCUCCAAGGCUAAAUACUCCUUACUGACCGAUAGCGAACUAGUACCGUGAGGGAAAGGUGAAAAGAACCCCGGCAAGGGGAGUGAAAUAGAACCUGAAACCGUAUGCGUACAAGCAGUCAAAGCACUUCUUUGGAAGUGUGAUGGCGUACCUUUUGUAUAAUGGGUCAGCGACUUACUUGUUGUAGCAAGCUUAACCGUAUAGGGGAGGCGUAGGGAAACCGAGUCUGAAAUGGGCGUUUAGUUGCAACAAGUAGACCCGAAACCGGGCGAUCUAUCUAUGGCCAGGGUGAAGGUCAGGUAACACUGACUGGAGGCCCGAACCCACUACUGUUGAAAAAGUAGGGGAUGAGUUGUGGAUAGGAGUGAAAGGCUAAUCAAGCUCGGAGAUAGCUGGUUCUCCUCGAAAGCUAUUUAGGUAGCACCUCGUGUAUGACUCUUGGGGGUAGAGCACUGUUUCGGUUAGGGAGCCAUCCCGGCCUACCAAACCGAAGCAAACUCCGAAUACCAAGAAGUUUUAGCACGGGAGACACACUGCGGGUGAUAAGGUCCGUGGUGAAAAGGGAAACAGCCCAGACCGCCAGCUAAGGUCCCAAAAUCACAGUUAAGUGGAAAACGAUGUGGGAAGUCUCAGACAGUCAGGAGGUUGGCUUAGAAGCAGCCAUCCUUUAAAGAAAGCGUAAUAGCUCACUGAUCGAGUCGUCCUGCGCGAAAGAUUUAACGGGGCUUAAACUAUGUACCGAAGCUGCGGAGCUCUUUUUAGAGCUGGUAGAGGAGCGUUCUGUAAGCCUGCGAAGGUAAAUCGAGAGGUUUGCUGGAGGUAUCAGAAGUGCGAAUGCUGACAUGAGUAACGAUAAUGUGGGUGAAAAACCUACACGCCGAAAGUCCAAGGUUUCCUGCGCAACGUUAAUCGGCGCAGGGUGAGUCGGCCCCUAAGGCGAAGUAGAAAUGCAUAGUCGAUGGGAAACAGGUUAAUAUUCCUGUACUUUACAAUACUGCGAUGGGAGGACGGAGAAGGCUAGGUCAGCCACUCGAUGGUUGUAGUGGUUUAAGUGCGUAGGAAGAGUUCUUUGGCAAAUCCGGGAACUUAAUUCUGAGAUAUGAUGACGAAGCAUGACUCGUUCAUGCGAAGUGACUAAUGCCACGCUUCCAGGAAAAGUCUCUAAGCUUCAGGUAUUGUAGAACCGUACCCCAAACCGACACAGGUGGACAGGUAGAGAAUACUAAGGCGUUUGAGAGAACUUGGGUGAAGGAACUAGGCAAAAUGACACCGUAACUUCGGGAGAAGGUGUGCCCUUAGUAAGUGAAAG